AGCCCAUUGGAUAGUACACAUCAUUGUGUUCUGCUCCACAGGGCCACCAUAGGAAACCUGCACAGCAGGCGGCUGCCAUCAUUUGAGUGCACUGGAGAAAAGCUGGUGUAAAAGAACCACUGGGGGGGAACUGAGAGCAUGUGCAAGGUAGCACUUGUAGCACAGCCUUAACAUGCAGCUGUGCAGUCAGAGCCUUACACUCAGCCCAGAAGUAGGGUCACCCCACUGCUCUUCCCAUCAGCCGCAGUAGCAGAUUUACUGUAGCCCACAUUCAGCAAUGGAAAUCUGCUUUAGCAGGGGGUUUGGCUUGGUGAUCUCUAGAGGUCCCUUCCAGCCCCUACAAUUCUGUGAUUCUGUGANAUCGCAUAAAUCCACCAGCUCCAGUCAAAGCCCGGGUGCAAUUUUAAUGGGCAAAAAACGUCGUGGGAGGAGAGCACUUGGAGAUGGGUGUGGAGUUCCAUGCAGAAUUCAGCUUGCAACAAAAAGCCGGUAUCCCAAACUCACUGUGUGCUUGAAGAAGUGGGGAUAAGGAAACAGAUGGCUUACUCAAUGUCCCAGAAGGAACUGGCAACAGAAUAGAGUAACAAAAGUAGGUAUUUUCACUCUUAUUCCAGCUCUCAGAUGACCUAGCCAUCCUGGCUAGUGUUGGCACAGGCAUGCAGAGACUUUGCAGAACACUGCAGGUUUGAAGGCUACUGAGGCACGCUGGCAGCAAUGCUGUGAUGUGGCCCCUGGAAGGGCAAUUAGUCCUAAUAGAUGGUGACAGAGGGGUGUCCUUGAGACCCUUAUCAAACUGAGAAAACCUGCUCUGGAGGCUUUUCUUCCUGCUCUUGCACUGCUGACCAAGUGUGCUUAGCUCCUCCUGGGCAGAACACUGACAUAUCACUCCAGCCACAUCACUGCCAUGCGAGCUGACAAAACACUAUUUUUACUCCCUGCCCAGUUAUUCAGGUCAAGAGAAGAUUCAAGAUCACUCACAUAUGCAAGAAGCUUUUUCCGACUCAGUGGGAUUUGCAUGAAGGCACAGUGCCCAGGAGAACAGGGGGUCAGUGUGGGGUCAGCUGCCUGUGCUGACACCGGCAGAGGCAGAAGCAGUUUUCAGAAGCACGAAGGUGUUUGGG
RNAcentral lists this long non-coding RNA (1121 nucleotides) under Pavo cristatus (Indian peafowl). Its description in RNAcentral is "lncRNA (ENSPSTG00000018972.1)". The record is from RNAcentral. Lineage: Eukaryota; Metazoa; Chordata; Aves; Galliformes; Phasianidae.